UCGUGGAUCGCCCAUGUGGACCGACCCGAUCCGACCCAAUUUGUUUCAUGCCUUAUCCAAAUUAAUUAAUUAAUAAUUAAUUGGAUAAAUCAUUUUAAAGGAUAAGGCAGAACAAUUACUUUGUAACUGUUCAACCUCUCCUUAAAAGACUCCUAGUGAGAGUGUUUUCCUAAGGAAUGUGAAACGUGAAAACAGAGAGAGGAAACGUAAAAAAAUAC
RNAcentral lists this long non-coding RNA (218 nucleotides) under Solanum tuberosum (potato). Its description in RNAcentral is "long non-coding RNA (STUB_LNC009861)". Lineage: Eukaryota; Viridiplantae; Streptophyta; Magnoliopsida; Solanales; Solanaceae. The record is from RNAcentral.